AGCAGCCGCGGUAAUUCCAGCUCCAAUAGCGUAUAUUAAAGUUGUUGCAGUUAAAAAGCUCGUAGUUGAAUUUCGGGAUCAUCAGGUCGGUCGUGCCUCCGGUAUGUACUGGUCUCGAUGGUUCCUCCUUCUUGUAGAACCGUAAUGCCAUUAAUUUGGUGUUGCGGGGAAACAGGACUGUUACUUUGAAAAAAUUAGAGUGUUUAAAGCAGGCGAUCGCUUGAAUACAUUAGCAUGGAAUAAUGAAAUAGGACGUUCGAUCCUAUUUUGUUGGUUUCUAGGAUUGACGUAAUGAUUAAUAGGGAUAGUUGGGGGCAUUAGUAUUCAAUUGUCAGAGGUGAAAUUCUUGGAUUUAUUGAAGACUAACUACUGCGAAAGCAUUUGCCAAGGAUGUUUUCAUUAAUCAAGAACGAAAGUUAGGGGAUCGAAGACGAUCAGAUACCGUC
This 446-nucleotide ribosomal RNA is filed under the name uncultured Glomus. RNAcentral's name for it is "SSU rRNA". It matches the Rfam family "Eukaryotic small subunit ribosomal RNA", at positions 569 to 1019 of the family's 1831-position model. The record is from RNAcentral. Lineage: Eukaryota; Fungi; Glomeromycota; Glomeromycetes; Glomerales; Glomeraceae.